GUCCCCAUCGUCUAGAGGCCCAGGACACCGCCCUUUCACGGCGGUAACCAGAGUUCGAAUCUCUGUGGGGACGCCA
RNAcentral lists this transfer RNA (76 nucleotides) under Deltaproteobacteria bacterium. RNAcentral describes it as "tRNA-Glu". It matches the Rfam family "tRNA". Rfam says of the family: Transfer RNA (tRNA) molecules are approximately 80 nucleotides in length. Their secondary structure includes four short double-helical elements and three loops (D, anti-codon, and T loops). The record is from RNAcentral. RNAcentral also lists the same sequence under 3 other names. Lineage: Bacteria; Pseudomonadati; Myxococcota; Myxococcia.